GACGAACGCUGGCGGCGUGCUUAACACUUGCAAGUCGAACGGAAAGGCCUUUUCGGAGGUACUCGAGUGGCGAACGGGUGAGUAACACGUGGGUGAUCUGCCCUGCACUCUGGGAUAAGCCUGGGAAACUGGGUCUAAUACCGGAUAGGACCGCACUUUAGUGUGUGUGGUGGAAAGUUUUUUCGGUGUAGGAUGAGCCCGCGGCCUAUCAGCUUGUUGGUGGGGUAAUGGCCUACCAAGGCGGCGACGGGUAGCCGGACUGAGAGGUUGGUCGGCCACAUUGGGACUGAGAUACGGCCCAGACUCCUACGGGAGGCAGCAGUGGGGAAUAUUGCACAAUGGGCGCAAGCCUGAUGCAGCGACGCCGCGUGGGGGAUGACGGCCUUCGGGUUGUAAACUCCUUUCGCCAGGGACGAAGCGUUUUGUGACGGUACCUGGAGAAGAAGCACCGGCUAACUACGUG
RNAcentral lists this ribosomal RNA (463 nucleotides) under uncultured bacterium. Its description in RNAcentral is "partial 16S ribosomal RNA". It matches the Rfam family "Bacterial small subunit ribosomal RNA", at positions 28 to 507 of the family's 1533-position model. The record is from RNAcentral.